Molecule: non-coding RNA, 1230 nt
Organism: Chiloscyllium plagiosum (whitespotted bambooshark)
Lineage: Eukaryota; Metazoa; Chordata; Chondrichthyes; Orectolobiformes; Hemiscylliidae
Source: RefSeq, a predicted model, not a curated record
UCUGACACAGUCUGGCUAGGAGUGCAGAAAAUUUGGAGAAGCAGUCUUUAGUACUAUUGCCAGAAUGUGUCAGCGCCCAUAGUCUUUGCAGUAUCCAGUGCCUCCAACCGUUUAUUGCUAUCAUGUGGAUAGAACUAAAUUAGCUGAAAAUUGGUAACUGGGGACCACUGGAGGAAGCCAAGAUGGGUCAUCCACUUUGCACUCUGGCUUGAACAUUUUUGCAAAAACUUCAACCUCAUCUUAUGCUCUGUUGUCCUGGGCUCCCCCAUAAUUAAGUAUGGGGAUAUUUAUGGAACCUUGUCCUCCAGUGAGCUGUUGUUCACCAUUCAUGAAUAGAUGUGGCAGAACUGCAGAGCUGUUGUGGCAUCGCUUAGCCCUGUCUAUUUCUUGCUGUUUUGGCAUGCAAGUAGUCUUGUUUAGUAGCUUAACCAGGUUGACAUUUUUAGUAUGCCUGGUGCUACUCCUGGCAUGCCUUUCUGGACUCUCCAUUGAACCAGGGUUGACCUCCUCAUUCGAUAGUAAUGGUAGAGUAGUGGAUAUGCUGAGCUGUGAGAUUGGAGAUUGUAUUGGAAUAUGAUUCUGCUGAUGCUGAUGGCCCACGGUGCCUCAUAGAUGUCCAGUCUUGAGUUGUUAGAUCUGUUCCAAGUCAGUCCCAUUUAUGAGGGUGAUAUCGCCAUACAACACAAUGGAGGUUUUCUCAAAGUGAAGCAAGGGCUUCAUUUCCACAAGGACUGUGAGGCAGUCACUCUUACUGAUUCUGUCAAGACAGAUGCAUCUUCAGCCAGCGAACUGGAAAGGAUGAAGUCAAGUAUACUUUUUCCUCUUGUUGAUUGCUUUACCAUCUGCUGCAGACCAGUCUAGCAGCUCUGUCCUCUAGGACCUGACCAGCUCAAUCUGCAGUGUUGCUGCCAAACCACUCUGUGAUGGUCAACUUUGAAAUCCCUCUCUCAAAGUACAUUCUGCUCCCUUGCUACCUUCAGUGCUUUCUUUAAGUGUUGUUCAACGUGGAGGAGUACUGAUUCAUCAGCCAAGGGAGUUUGCUUUCUGGUUUGAUGAGAAGAUAACACAGUUCCUAAUCAAAAAAUGAAGGUAUCAGGAGCUACCAUCAGCAUCUUCAUCCCAGUAUUCUGCUAAUCAUUAGAAACAGGGUUCACAUGAAGUCCAGGGCACCAAUGCUGCCUAACAGCUAUCAAAUCAUAUCAGAAAGAGCAUGAUAUUUGCAGAUCAACG